UGGAUGAGCCCGCGGCCUAUCAGCUUGUUGGUGGGGUAAUGGCCUACCAAGGCGACGACGGAUAGCCGACCUGAGAGGGUGAUCGGCCACACUGGGACUGAGACACGGCCCAGACUCCUACGGGAGGCAGCAGUGGGGAAUAUUGCACAAUGGGCGCAAGCCUGAUGCAGCGACGCCGCGUGAGGGAUGACGGCCUUCGGGUUGUAAACCUCUUUCACCAGGGACGAAGCGCAAGUGACGGUACCUGGAGAAGAAGCACCGGCCAACUACGUGCCAGCAGCCGCGGUAAU
Molecule: ribosomal RNA, 290 nt
Filed under: uncultured bacterium
Lineage: Bacteria
Description: partial 16S ribosomal RNA
Rfam family: Bacterial small subunit ribosomal RNA
Source: RNAcentral